GACGAACGUUGGCGGCGUGCUUAAUACAUGCAAGUCAACUGAAGCAGUGGUAGCAAUAUCGCUGUGGAGGUGGCGCACGGGUGAGUAACACGUAGGUAAUCUGCCUUCAGGUCUGGCAUAACUCCGGGAAACCGGGGCUAAUAGCAGAUGAUGCAGCGGCUCGACAUCGAGACAGUUGUUAAAGCUAUGGCGCCUGAAGAUGAGCCUGCGUCUGAUUAGCUAGUUGGCGGGGUAACGGCCCACCAAGGCAACGAUCAGUAGCUGGUCUGAGAGGAUGAUCAGCCACACUGGAACUGAGACACGGUCCAGACUCCUACGGGAGGCAGCAGUAAGGAGUAUUGCUCAAUGGGAGAAAUCCUGAAGCAGCAACGCCGCGUGAGGGACGACGGGCUUUUGCUUGUAAACCUCUGUAGUGAGAGAAAAAAAUCCCAAUCUUUGGGACAUGAUGGUAUCUCAAAAGUAAGCCCCGGCUAACUACGUG
Molecule: ribosomal RNA, 481 nt
Filed under: uncultured bacterium
Lineage: Bacteria
Description: partial 16S ribosomal RNA
Rfam family: Bacterial small subunit ribosomal RNA
Source: RNAcentral